GUAGGGAAUAUUCCGCAAUGGGCGAAAGCCUGACGGAGCAACGCCGCGUGAGUGAUGAAGGCCUUAGGGUCGUAAAGCUCUGUUGCAGGGGAAAAAGCAAGUGAUUGUACUCUGCGAGAAAGGACCGGCAAACUUCGUGCCAGCAGCCGCGGUAAUACGAAGGGUCCUAGCGUUGUUCGGAAUUAUUGGGCGUAAAGAGCACGUAGGUGGCCUAGUAAGUCAGGUGUGAAAUCCCAGGGCUCAACCCUGGAAGUGCACUUGAAACUGCAUGGCUUGAGUACGGAAGAGGUGAGUGGAAUUCCUGGUGUAGUGGUGAAAUACGUAGAUAUCAGGAGGAACAUCGGUGGCGAAGGCGGCUCACUGGUCCUGUACUGACACUGAGGUGCGAAAGCAUGGGGAUCAAACAGGAUUAGAUACCCCAGUAGUCC
Molecule: ribosomal RNA, 428 nt
Filed under: uncultured bacterium
Lineage: Bacteria
Description: bacterial SSU rRNA
Rfam family: Bacterial small subunit ribosomal RNA
Source: RNAcentral